Grammomys surdaster is the source of this 356-nucleotide long non-coding RNA. RefSeq lists it as uncharacterized. The transcript has 2 exons. The record is from RefSeq and is a predicted model, not a curated record. NCBI's taxonomy places the organism in Eukaryota, Metazoa, Chordata, Mammalia, Rodentia, Muridae.
AGUCAAUCUAAACACUGCACAUUUACAGAAUUUGAGGCUGUACACAACACCGUGAAGAUGGCUCUGUUUUCUCCGGUCGGGGGAUGUGACCAGCUCUCUGUUCUGAGACAGCUUGGAGGUGUUGAUGCAGGGCUCGCUCGGAUGCCGGUCUCCAAAUUCAAUUUCUGGGUUCACUCACAUUUACUCCUCAUGAGUGCCGCUAAUUAGAUUACUUGUGCUGUCUUUAAAUGGCAGGCUAAAGCAAUUUACUUAAUUCUAAAUUUGAUUAUUUUUCUUUUUAUUUAGAAGCAAACUGUGAAAAACGUAUCAUGUCUGUGCUUAGGGGGAUCCAGCGUUAAUAAAAACAGGGCAGUUGA